This 253-nucleotide ribosomal RNA is filed under the name uncultured bacterium. RNAcentral describes it as "partial 16S ribosomal RNA". It matches the Rfam family "Bacterial small subunit ribosomal RNA", at positions 524 to 776 of the family's 1533-position model. The record is from RNAcentral.
UACGUAGGGUGCGAGCGUUGUCCGGAAUUACUGGGCGUAAAGAGCUCGUAGGUGGUUUGUCGCGUUGUUCGUGAAAACUCACAACUCAAUUGUGGGCGUGCGGGCGAUACGGGCAGACUGGAGUACUGCAGGGGAGACUGGAAUUCCUGGUGUAGCGGUGGAAUGCGCAGAUAUCGGGAGGAACACCGGUGGCGAAGGCGGUUCUCUGGGACGGUACUGACGCUGAGACGCGAAAGCGUGGGGAGCGAACAGG